GAGGAAUCAGCAGGGAGCUGCAGGCAGGCCUGUUGGGUACAGAUGCUGCUCUACACACCGGCUGCUGAGCUGGGAUGAUAUAUUUGUGCAUGCCGUUGUUGUGAGCAAACCUUUCGAAAAUACAGCAGUGAUCCCAGUGCUUUUGAAUGAGGCUGCUGGAUGCUCUAGAUCAGCUUACAUCAGACCCCAUCUGCCAGGAUCACAUGCUGGUCCUGACCAACAGUGAGAGCAGAGGCAUGAAGCAAAGAUGUCCAGAUAUUUGCCAAGAUAUCAGCAUUUUUCCGGAAUGCUUCAGGUACAAAAGGACAACAACAACAAAAAAUUACUGCCUUACAGGCAUAAGUACAAGGCCAAAUUCCACCUCUUGUUUAGCUGAGCAGUUGCCAGCACAGCCAGCUGGGGGAAGGGAGAAGCCUAGCAAGACGGAUGGAAAGGCAAAAAAAUGUGGACAGAGAAGUUAG
Molecule: long non-coding RNA, 461 nt
Filed under: Cairina moschata (Muscovy duck)
Lineage: Eukaryota; Metazoa; Chordata; Aves; Anseriformes; Anatidae
Description: domestica (muscovy Duck (domestic type)) lncRNA (ENSCMMG00000007134.1)
Source: RNAcentral